Molecule: transfer RNA, 72 nt
Filed under: Camelus bactrianus (Bactrian camel)
Lineage: Eukaryota; Metazoa; Chordata; Mammalia; Artiodactyla; Camelidae
Also listed under: 2 other names
Rfam family: tRNA
About the family: Transfer RNA (tRNA) molecules are approximately 80 nucleotides in length.
Source: Rfam by way of RNAcentral
GGGGAUAUAGCUCAGGGUUAGAGCAUAUGCUUAGUGUGCGCAAGGUCCUGAGUUCAAUCCCUAAUACCUCCA